AGAGUUUGAUCCUGGCUCAGGACGAACGCUGGCGGCGUGCUUUACACAUGCAAGUCGAACGGAGAAGCACCUUCGGGUGUGGAUCAGUGGCGAACGGGUGAGUAACACGUGGGUAACCUGCCCCUCACUUCGGGAUAACUCCGGGAAACCGGGGCUAAUACUGGAUAUCACCAGACCGGGCAUCCGGACUGGUUGAAAGGGUUACUGGUGAGGGAUGGACCCGCGGCCUAUCAGCUAGUUGGUGGGGUAAUGGCCUACCAAGGCGACGACGGGUAGCCGGCCUGAGAGGGCGACCGGCCGCACUGGGACUGAGACACGGCCCGGACUCCUACGGGAGGCAGCAGUGGGGAAUAUUGCGCAAUGGACGAAAGUCUGACGCAGCAACGCCGCGUGAGGGAACGAAGGCCUUUGGGUUGUAAACCUCUUUCAGCAGGGACGAAGCGAAAGUGACGGUACCUGCAGAAGAAGCACCGGCUAACUACGUGCCAGCAGCCGCGGUAAUACGUAGGGUGCAAGCGUUGUCCGGAUUUAUUGGGCGUAAAGGGCUCGUAGGCGGUCUGUCGCGUCGGAAGUGAAAACCUGGAGCUCAACUCCAGGCCUGCUUUCGAUACGGGCAGACUAGAGUUCGGUAGGGGAGACUGGAAUUCCUGGUGUAGCGGUGGAAUGCGCAGAUAUCAGGAGGAACACCAAUGGCGAAGGCAGGUCUCUGGGCCGACACUGACGCUGAGGAGCGAAAGCGUGGGUAGCAAACAGGAUUAGAUACCCUGGUAGUCCACGCCGUAAACGGUGGGCGCUAGGUGUGGGGAACAAUCUACGUUUUCCGCGCCGCAGCUAACGCAUUAAGCGCCCCGCCUGGGGAGUACGGCCGCAAGGCUAAAACUCAAAGGAAUUGACGGGGGCCCGCACAAGCGGCGGAGCAUGCGGCUUAAUUCGAUGCAACGCGAAGAACCUUACCUAGGCUUGACAUAUGACCAGAGCAUGCAGAGAUGUAUGUGCAUUUAGUUGGGGUCAUACAGGUGGUGCAUGGCUGUCGUCAGCUCGUGUCGUGAGAUGUUGGGUUAAGUCCCGCAACGAGCGCAACCCUCGUCCUAUGUUGCCAGCGGGUAAUGCCGGGGACUCAUAGGAGACCGCCGGGGUCAACUCGGAGGAAGGUGGGGACGACGUCAAGUCAUCAUGCCCCUUAUGUCUAGGGCUGCACGCAUGCUACAAUGGCCGGUACAAAGGGCUGCAAAAUCGUAAGAUUAAGCGAAUCCCAUAAAGCCGGUCUCAGUUCGGAUUGGGGUCUGCAACUCGACCCCAUGAAGUCGGAGUCGCUAGUAAUCGCAGAUCAGCAACGCUGCGGUGAAUACGUUCCCGGGCCUUGUACACACCGCCCGUCACGUCACGAAAGUCGGUAACACCCGAAGCCGGUGGCCUAACCCUUUACUGGGAGGGAGCUGUCGAAGGUGGGACUGGCGAUUGGGACGAAGUCGUAAUAAGGUA
RNAcentral lists this ribosomal RNA (1482 nucleotides) under metagenome. RNAcentral's name for it is "bacterial SSU rRNA". It matches the Rfam family "Bacterial small subunit ribosomal RNA". The record is from RNAcentral.